This 1964-nucleotide ribosomal RNA is filed under the name human metagenome. RNAcentral's name for it is "bacterial LSU rRNA". It matches the Rfam family "Bacterial large subunit ribosomal RNA", at positions 1 to 1977 of the family's 2925-position model. The record is from RNAcentral.
GAAAGUAAUGAAGGGCGUACGGUGGAUGCCUAGGCUCUUACAGGCGAUGAAGGACGUGAUAAGCUGCGAAAAGCCGCGGUGAGGCGCAAAUGGCCCUUGACCCGCGGAUCUCCGAAUGGGACAACCCAAUAUCUUGAAGAGAUAUUAUCCCGCCGAUGCGGGAGGCGAACGCGGGGAACUGAAACAUCUUAGUACCCGCAGGAAAAGAAAAUAAAGAAUGAUUCCCCCAGUAGUGGCGAGCGACCGGGGAAGAGCCCAAACCGACGUUGUCUCGGCAUCGUCGGGGUUGUAGGACCGCGCCAUCGCAAGAAAGGCCGUGAGUGGAAGCGACUGGAAAGCCGCGCCAUAGAGGGUGACAGCCCCUUACACGAAGCAGCCAGAAGCGUAGCGGACUCCUGAGUAGCGCGGGACACGAGUAAUCCUGUGUGAAUCCGCCGGGCCCAUCCGGCAAGGCUAAAUACUCGUAAGAGACCGAUAGUGAACCAGUACCGUGAGGGAAAGGUGAAAAGUACCCCUUGCAGGGGAGUGAAAGAGUUCCUGAAACCGUACGCCUACAAGCGGUCGGAGCAUCUUGAAUGAUGUGACGGCGUGCCUUUUGCAUAAUGAACCUACGAGUUGCCGUCACCAGCGAGGUUAAGUGCGAUGACGCACCGAGCCGCAGCGGAAGCGAGUCUUAAAAGGGCGCGAUAGUUGGUGGAGGCAGACGCGAAACCGAGUGAUCUACACUUGUCCAGGAUGAAGUCCCGGUAACACGGGAUGGAGGUCCGCACCAAUAAGCGUUGAAAAGCUUCUGGAUGAGGUGAGUGUAGGAGUGAAAGGCCAAUCAAACUCGGAGAUAGCUCGUACUCCCCGAAAGGCAUUUAGGUGCCGCCUGUGGCGUUCCCGACGUGAGGUAGAGCGACUGAUAGGAUGCGAGGGCUUCACCGCCUAUCAAGUCCUGACAAACUCCGAAUGCACGUCGGCCAAGCCAUGGAGUAAGGGCAUGGGUGCUAAGGUCCGUGCCCGAGAGGAGAAGAAUCCAGACCACCGGCUAAGGUCCCGAAAUACUGGUUAAGUUAGACUAACGCAGUCCGGCCCCCAAGACAGCUAGGAUGUUGGCUUGGAAGCAGCCAUUCAUUCAAAGAGUGCGUAACAGCUCACUAGUCGAGGAGCUGGGCGUGGAUAAUAAUCGGGUAUAAAACCAGUUACCGAAGCCGUGGGAUGCUUAAGCAUCGGUAGGGGAGCAUUGCAUGCGGCUUAGAAGGCGGGGCGUGAGCCCCUCUGGAGCGCAUGGAAACGCAAAUGUAGGUAUAAGUAACGACAAGGGGGGUGGGAUGCCCCCCCGCCGAAAGACCAAGGUUUCCUGAACAACGCUAAUCGGUUCAGGGUCAGUCGGGUCCUAAGCAUAAGCCGUAUGGCGAGGGCGAUGGACGAAACGGUUAAUAUUCCGUUACUGUCUUGGUGUGUGACGCGGCGACGGAGUAGUGACACGGCCGCCUCCUGACGGAAAAGGGGGUUGAAGCGCAAAGGUGUUGAGGAAGGCAGGCAAAUCCACCUUCCGAGCCGAAGCGCGAUAGUACGCCGGGCCCUUUGGGGCAAGGCGAUAGUGCCGGUAAUCAGACUUCCAAGAAAACCCGCUAAACUUCAGCACCAAGUCACCCGUACUCUAAACGGACACACGUGGUCGGGUAGAAUAUACUAAGGCGCUUGGGAGAUUCACGGUUAAGGAACUAGGCAAAUUGACCCCGUACCUUCGGAAUAAGGGGUCCUCGCUUUUGCGAGGCGCAGAGAAUAGGUCCAGGCAACUGUUUAACAAAAACACAGGGCUGUGCAAAUUUGAAAGAAGAAGUAUACAGCCUGACACCUGCCCGGUGCCGGAAGGUUAAGAGGAGAGCUCAUCAGCGAUGAGAAGGUUUGAAUUGAAGCCCCGGUAAACGGCGGCCGUAACUAUAACGGUCCUAAGGUAGCGAAAUUCCUUGUCGGGU